RNAcentral lists this ribosomal RNA (253 nucleotides) under uncultured bacterium. Its description in RNAcentral is "partial 16S ribosomal RNA". It matches the Rfam family "Bacterial small subunit ribosomal RNA", at positions 524 to 776 of the family's 1533-position model. The record is from RNAcentral.
UACGUAGGGGGCAAGCGUUGUCCGGAUUUAUUGGGCGUAAAGAGCGUGUAGGCGGUUUGGUAGGUCCGCUGUGAAAACUCGAGCUCAACCUCGAGACGCCGGUGGAAACCAUCAGACUAGAGUCCGGAAGAGGAGAGUGGAAUUCCGUGGUGUAGCGGUGAAAUGCGCAGAUAUCAGGAAGAACACCCGUGGCUAAGGCGGCUCUCUAGUACGGUACUGACGCUGAGACGCGAAAGCGUGGGGAGCGAACAGG